RNAcentral lists this unclassified non-coding RNA (814 nucleotides) under uncultured Prochlorococcus sp. RNAcentral's name for it is "partial 16S-23S ribosomal RNA intergenic spacer; may also contain 16S ribosomal RNA and 23S ribosomal RNA". The stretch from base 317 to 389 matches the Rfam family "tRNA". Lineage: Bacteria; Bacillati; Cyanobacteriota; Cyanophyceae; Synechococcales; Prochlorococcaceae. The record is from RNAcentral.
AUGACUGGGGUGAAGUCGUAACAAGGUAGCCGUACCGGAAGGUGCGGCUGGAUCACCUCCUAACAGGGAGACAAAACUGAUCGUGAUGUCUGAGAUAAAUUGUCUUAGGCCAUGAUCCUGUCACCUUAGGUCGAUCGGUACCUCAGAUUUUUCAAAUCAGGCGAUAUACCUGAAUCUUUGAUUGAUUUCAGUUCCUAAACUUUGUCUAGGUCACACCCAGCAAGGGUACUCCUGGGCCAUUAGCUCAGGUGGUUAGAGCGCACCCCUGAUAAGGGUGAGGUCCCUGGUUCAAGUCCAGGAUGGCCCAUUCGUUGUUGGGGGUAUAGCUCAGUUGGUAGAGCGCCUGCUUUGCAAGCAGGAUGUCAGCGGUUCGAGUCCGCUUACCUCCACUGAUCAACUCCCUAUGGCGAAGUCAUGGAGUUUGCUUUUGCUAGUUGUGAUCUAUAGAUUCCGUUUUAUCUGAAAUGAACCUAGCUUCCUAUCAUUCAAAAACUAAUUUUAGUUUAGGUUGAAAGGACGCUGGGCUCACUUAAAUUCUUCCGAAUUUUUGUAAGUUCAGUAGAACCUUGAAAACUGCAUAGGUGAGUCUAGAAAAUAAAGCAUCUCAUGGAUGCAUUGUUUUGAGACAAUUCAAAUUAUUGUUAUUGCAAUAAUUGAAUUGUUAAAUUAACAAUGUUUUUAUUGAGCAAAAGCCGAGACUCUAGAUUUAAUUCUUAAUUCUCUUUAAGAGAAUAAAUUUCUGAUUUGAGAUAAAUUUUUCUCAUUUUGGAUUCUUAUUGAAUUAUUUUUGGAGAUUAAUAUGGUCAAGCUACAA